This 71-nucleotide transfer RNA is filed under the name Marmota monax (woodchuck). RNAcentral's name for it is "tRNA.Ala". It matches the Rfam family "tRNA". Rfam says of the family: Transfer RNA (tRNA) molecules are approximately 80 nucleotides in length. Their secondary structure includes four short double-helical elements and three loops (D, anti-codon, and T loops). Further hydrogen bonds mediate the characteristic L-shaped molecular structure. tRNAs have two regions of fundamental functional importance: the anti-codon, which is responsible for specific mRNA codon recognition, and the 3' end, to which the tRNAs corresponding amino acid is attached (by aminoacyl-tRNA synthetases). tRNAs cope with the degeneracy of the genetic code in two manners: having more than one tRNA (with a specific anti-codon) for a particular amino acid; and 'wobble' base-pairing, i.e. permitting non-standard base-pairing at the 3rd anti-codon position. The record is from RNAcentral. Lineage: Eukaryota; Metazoa; Chordata; Mammalia; Rodentia; Sciuridae.
GGGGUUGUGGCUCAGUGGUAGAGUGCUUGCCUAGCAUGCAUGAGGCACUGGAUUUGAUCCUCAGCACCACA